Gopherus flavomarginatus (Mexican gopher tortoise) is the source of this 435-nucleotide long non-coding RNA. RefSeq lists it as uncharacterized. NCBI's taxonomy places the organism in Eukaryota, Metazoa, Chordata, Testudines, Testudinidae. The record is from RefSeq and is a predicted model, not a curated record. The transcript has 4 exons.
GUGACUUUCUUUUCUUUCUCCCACAAUCAUAGCAAUGCCAGCCUGCCUUUAUUAAUGGGUGCAUUGCCAUUGGAUGGAAGCCUCUAGGACAGCAUCUGGUCACUUAACUCCAGGACCAACUCCCGGACCUAUUCCUGAAAAGAUGAGACAAGGCUUGACAAAACAAGAUGACUCAGAAGAUAAAUCUGUUUUUUAUAUCAAGAAGCACUACAAGGGUUAACAAACAGUGAACCGGACACCUGACCAGAGGACCAAUCAGGAAACAAGAUACUUUCAAAUCUCGGUGAAGGGAAGCCUUUGUUUGUGUUUUUUGGGUUUUGCUUUGUUCUCUCUGGGAUCUGAGAGUAACCGGACGUACUACAGGCUCUAAUUUUCUAUUCAAAUAGUGCCAUGAAGUUUGGCUGACACAUGGAACUAGCCUAGAGAGGAUCAGGU